RNAcentral lists this unclassified non-coding RNA (447 nucleotides) under Melitaea cinxia (Glanville fritillary). Its description in RNAcentral is "misc RNA ENSMCXG00005004260.1". Lineage: Eukaryota; Metazoa; Arthropoda; Insecta; Lepidoptera; Nymphalidae. The record is from RNAcentral.
UGAGACUUAGCUGUAAUCUUUUUUAAGGUCGAGGUACUUCCCCAAUCGUGCUGCUCCAAUUUUGGACCUGUGCAAUUUAUUUCCAGUUUUUGGGAUUAUUUAUUAUUUUGACAAUGAUGGGACCAUGGGUUCAAUGGGAUAAAUAAUAUUUGUAUGGACCAAACAAAUCUUUGACAAGUCCACAGGCGUUUUUGAUUGACCCCCGUUUUCGGAACCCGUUCUAAAUGUUAUGUAUUUUUCCAGUUUAUCAUGGUAAGCUGUGUGCUAGAAAGUAUUGUCUGCGAAUGGUCAUGGAUGAAGCCCUGGCGUUCCGUGCUUUUGAUCACGAUUGCGUAUUUAUUAAUAGAAUACGUAGAUGAAGAUAUUGGUGACCUUGGUUUCGUGUAUUCUACGGCGGUGUCGACGUUUACAGAGACAAUUAUAAUAUUCUGGUUGUAUCCGCUUGGU